Long non-coding RNA from Gasterosteus aculeatus aculeatus (three-spined stickleback), 7125 nucleotides. NCBI's taxonomy places the organism in Eukaryota, Metazoa, Chordata, Actinopteri, Perciformes, Gasterosteidae. The record is from Ensembl.
GGUUGUGGCCACUCCUCCACCGCUUUCACUUUACAGGGAUCCAUUCGGAUGCUCCCAGCUGCAAUGAUGUAUGAAAUAGGUCGAUGGCGCAAUCAUAGGGGCGGUGGGGGGGGGGGCAGAGAUGUCGCCCGGGACUUGCUAAAGACUUCCCGCAGGUCCUGGUAUUCGGCCGGAACGGAGGACAAGUCAGGGGGGUCCCCCGAUGCCGGGUUGGGGGAAGCCGAGGGGUGUUGUGCAGCCCCCAAGCAGUGGGCAUGGCAGAAUGGGCUCCAGCCCUUUAUGGAGCCCGUUGUCCAAUCAAUGAGGGGUUUAUGCUUUUGCAGCCAGGAAUGGCCCAGAACCACAGGUACGUGAGGAGAACUUGGAGUGGAGUGGAGGAGUGGAGAGGCGUUGGGUCGAGAUGCCCAGUUGCUGGACCAGGGCGGAGUCAAUGAAGCUCUCAUCAGCCCCGGAGUGAAUGAGCACUCUGAUGGUGUUGGAUUGGGCCCCCCACAAAAGAAUUGCAUGCAGCGGGGCACAGGUAGUAUGAGUCCAGGGAGUCUCUGUUUGGCCCACCAGCAUACCCGCCCCUACUGAUGAGCCUGCUCUUUUAGUGGGCAGGUGGAGAUGUAAUGGCCGGAAGUGCUACAGUACAAACAGCUGCGGCUGCUAAAUCGCCUCUCCCGCUCAGCAGGGCUUAUUCUCGCCCUUCCGAGGUCCAUGGGCUCUGGUCUAUCGACUUUGUGAGGCUUCGGAUAAUUCCGGAAAGACUCUGCUGAGCCCCUAGUGUCUCUUUGGUUGGAGAGCCGGAUACUUCCAGUUUGUGGUGGGUUAGGGGGGGCUGAUUGUCUCUCCCGGUUUCUAUCCCGCAGCCGGCUAUCUAUCCGCAUAGAAAGGUUCACGAGGGAGUCGAGAUCAGGGGGCAGCUCUCGUGCUGCUAGCUCAUCCUUGAUAAUGUCGGACAGCCCAUGAAGAAAAGCGUCGAAGAGAGAGUCGGAAUUCCAUGAACUAUCCGCAGCCAGAGUGCGGAAGUCCACCGCGUAGUCUGACACGCUGCGAGAGCCCUGUCGGAGUCGCAGGAGUUUACGGGCUGCUUCCCUCCCCGACACCGGUGACUCAAAAACCUUUUUUAUUUCAGCCAUAAGGCAGCCAGACUGGAGCAGAUGGGUGUUUGCUGUUCCCACACUGCCGUAGCCCAAGUUCCUGCCCUCCCGGACAUAAGCGAAACGAUGUACGCUACCUUGGAACGCUCCGAUUGAAACGAGGAUGGUUGUAGCUCGAAGAUCAAGGAACACUUGGAGAGGAAUGAACGACAGGUUCUCGGGUCUCCAGAAUAGCGCUCAGGAGGUGUUAAGUUGGGUUCCCGAGGGGCCGUGUUGGUUACCGGCAAGGCCGCACUGGCUGCGAGGCCACCUUGGUCUGGGGCAGGGGCCGCUGUAGUUGGCAAUCCCAUAGACAUCCCACGAAACUGCUCCAUCAGGGAUUGAUAUGUCCGAUCGUGGUGGUCAGAGAUGCUUUGAAGUCCCUUCAUGACCCGUUGUAGGAUGUCUUCGUGCCUUCCUAUAGCAGCUCCCUGAAGAGCGACGGCAUUCCGGAGGGAGUCAGGUUCUGCUGGAUCUGUCAUGGCCAGUUCGUACUAUCACAGCUCAGACAGAGACCCAAACGCAGAUAUGAGGAAUAAGGUUUAAUGAAGAGGAAUUCGGGCAGGCAGUGUCAAUGUCGGAGGCAGGCAGGAGUUCGGUGCACGGGAGAUCAGGGGUUCAGAGGUGGCAGGCAGUGUCGUUGUCAGAGGCAGGCCGGAGUUCGGUACACAGGAGGUUAUAUGCCCAAGGGAUAAUUGACAAACAGGGAACACCUGGUGUGGGAGGAGACAGGGGAAAAACAGGUGAAAACAGGUGAACACAAUUAGGGCGUGACACCUCCGCUCUCUUCACUGGCUACCAGUGGCUUCCCGCAUCCGGUUCAAAACAUUGGUGCUCACGUACCAUGCUGUGAAUGGAUCGGGUCCAGCUUACAUCCAGGACAUGGUAAAACCCUACAUACCAACCCGCACUCUCCACUCUGCAUCUGCAAAACUGCUUGUUCCUCCCUCACUAAGAGCAAAGUACUCGACAAGAUCACGACUGUUUGAUGUCCUGGCUCUGAAAUGGUGGAAUGGGCUCUCUAAUGACAUCAGGACCGCAGAGAGCCUUCACAUCUUCCGCCGCAAACUAAAGACACACUUCUUCAGACUCUACCUUGACUAAAAGACUAACAAAUUGUAGUACUUAAAUUGUACUUAUAAUGCAACUAAUGCCACUUAUCUAUAGCAAAUUGCUUAUUUGAUGAAAUUGCCCUUUGUUUCUUGCUCUUCUGAGUUUGUAUCCCUAUGGUUGAACGCACUUAUUGUAAGUCACUUUGGAUAAAAGCUAAAUGACAUGUAAUGUAAUGUAACUCAUUAGAUCUUCACCCUUUUAGUGAGCAUACAUACUUCAACGUAUCUUUCCGUGUGUUCAAUGGAAAUUGGGAUAUCUUACAUGUAAUUUAUUUUCUUAUGAAAUAGAACUGUUUAAGUAUAAGCUUGCAUUGUGAUCCAUACAGCUGACUCCCCUUACACAGAUCCUGAUCUUUUAGUGUUGGAUAACAGGUAAUUAUUGUAUGCCAUUAGCAUAGUUCAGCACACAGGCCCCCACCCAUGAUCUCUCUUAAUAACUUUCCAAUUUAAUUUGUACUGCAGACUUCUGCAGACUCGUUGACGCUGUCAAACUGUGCAGCUUCUUGCAAGAAUGCGAUAUGACUCGACUGUUGAAGUUAAUCUACGAGACUAUUGUGGCAGAGAUAAAAUAUUUUAACGCAGUUAACGCAACUUGUUACUUCCGGUGUGCAUUGACCGCUGACACAAAACUGCCACGUGCAGUAUGAUUGGAGAGACCGAGACGGUUGUUGAAGAUGGAGAGAGGUUUUAUCAUUGGAAGUAAAGAAAAACAAAGGUCCGACAUACAGCGGAGGACUGUGCAGAGGAAUUCCUCAACGUGUCAAACCGAAGGGGUUGAGUGGCAAACAGACCACUUUUAGGCACUGGUGAUGUUCGAUACCACAGAUUUCCUUUCCGAUCCGAUACUGAGUAAAAUUCAGGCUGGUAUCGGUGAUACCGAUCCAAUACCGAUACUUUGUGCAUGGUAGAUCUAAAAAAAGUAGUGUAUUUUAAAUACAUAGCUUAGGAAUACAAGACAUCAUAGUCACUUAUUCAUUUAUUUAUUUUAAACUUUAAACUAAAAAGGUAGCGGCCUCAUUCACAAUAUAGCCGAGCUAUUACAACAACAGAAAAACAAGAGUGUUUGAAAAAGGUGUUUCCAUCACUAAAAAAAGAUCAUAAGUAAAAUAAUAAAACCAUUAGAAUAAUUAUCAGAAUAAUAAACAAAAAUGAGAACCACUAUAAAAAUGAAAGUUUGCAUCUUAAUUCACAUUACAUGAACAUGUUAACAGGAAAACACUUCAACAAAAGCAUCCAACAUUGACACUUUCCAUCAAGGAACAACAGCAUGUUUACGGUCUUCCCCUUAAGUCUGUUCUGUUUUUUUCUUAGAACCUCUCCUGCCUUUGAAAAGACUCUCUCUGCUGGUACAGGAGUGGCAGUAAUUCCCAGGUAUCUCACUGCUAGUUUGCUCAGGGCUGGGAAGGUUUGGUCAUGUUCUUUCCACCAAACCAGUGCAUCCCUGUCUCUGGGAAUCACUUUUUCUUCUGAGUACCGACGUACUUCAAUGAGCACAUCACUGGUAGCUGACCGGCGAUGUUGUCCUGACAAAACCUGCAUGUCAAAAUCAGUCCAUAUGCCUCCUCUUAAUACAGCUGAACCCGAGGGGGCAGGACUCUGGUUUGGCUCUGAGGCAGAAGGCCCAGAGGAAGAAGACCUGAGGUAGAGCUAACGGUGGCUGUUGAGCUUGGGGCUAAACUGGGAGCUGCCUGUCCUGUCUGAUAGACUUCCUGUAUUUCAGAAAGGAGACACUUUUUCAUUACCUCCACAUUGUCUUUGUCUCGAAAACCAAGAUGUUUAAAUCUAACAUCCAGAAAUGUCCUGGCAGCUAGACAGUAAAUGCUCUCAAUACCCCUGAAUCUGCGCUGACAUUGCUGUGCCAGUUUUGUGGGAAGGGAGCUGCCUUAAAGUUCACAGGCUGCUACAGCCCUGUGAAGAAGUGACACAAGCGGAAUCACUUUGGAGACUGAAACGUACUUUUCAGAUGAAACCUCUCGUGUCACUUCUUCAAAUGGCCGUAGUGCAUCAACUGUUUGCUUGAUGAGGGAUAAUUCUCCCUCAUCUAAGCACAAGGUGUUCCUCCCUAAAAGGCAGAGGACUGUGGUCAGCUUCCUUUUGCUCAAAGAGCCUCUCCAGCAUGUAAAAAAUGGAAUUCCAGCGAGUAGCUACUGACUGGAUCAGCUUGUGCUCUGCCACUUUCAACUGUUGUUGAACAGCCCUGAACUUCUCGGUGGCCUGUGUGCUGUGGUGAAAAAAGGACACGAGCGCACUGCAUUUUUCCAGCACUUUCACCACUUCUGGGACAGUUUUUAAACUGUCCUUUACGAUCAAAUUCACUGUAUGUGCAAAACAUGGAUGGUGCCUCCAUCCAGCCUUGUGUACUGCAGCAACCAUGUUUGCACCAUUGUCUGUCACUACUGCAGCAACCUUGUCAGUUAUGCCCCAUUUUUCUGCGAUGCGUUUAAGCGCUAAACUGAUAUUGUCAGCUGUAUGCUGCCCAUUGAAAGUUUGGGUUUCCAAAACAAAAUCCCUCAUUUCCCAGUUUUCAAUGAGAUGGCAUGUUACAGUCAAAUAUGCCUCUGUGGACACUGAGGUCCACAUAUCAGUGGUAAGUACAACACUAGAAGCAUUUUGCAAAGAUGCCCUUACUUUGCCUUUGCAUUCAUCAAACAUUUCUACAAGAUGGGUCUCUGUCAGUUUCUUUCUUCCUGGGAGUUUAUAUUUUGGGUCAAGAGCUCUCACAAAUCCUUGGAAAACUUGGUCUUCCACUAUGGACAGAGGCUGGAGAUCCUUCGCAAUCAUCUCUCCUAGGCAUCUUGUGAAUGUUGCUGCUGGGGAUCAUCUUUAAACGAUUUAAAAUCACAGCACAAAAUUAACAAGGGGGCUACACUGUACUGAAAUCUUAAUCUUAUUUUGUUUCAACUAUGUAUGUGUGCAUAUGUAUGCAUGUAUGUCUCUCCAAAUAGCCUAGAAUAAGGGGAUACAAACACUUGCUGUUUUAUAAUUCUGGGACUCAAGAAUUGCCAGUAAAAUAUUUAAUUAAAUAGAUGCCACAAUUUUUUGCACAAGUUUGUCAAUACCAACAUUUUAAAUAUUUAUUUAACAGUUAAAGCAAAUCACUCAUUGUAAAUAAUAAAUAUAUUAUAUAGAUAAAAGGUUAUUUUUGUAACCAUCUUUUCCAAUAGGCUAUAUAUUUUUCUAAAUUCACCCUGGCUGUUUUAUCGCAGUUAUCCUGUAUUAUUUAAUGACACCUAGUCUAUGUAAUCCACUUCAAAUGAUCAAUAUUUUAGGAAACCUUCCCUGAAUAAAUCUAGGCUUCAUAUGUGAGAUUAUCUCAGUGAUACACAUAUUAGGCUAUUACUCCAAGCUGAACUCAUGCAGCUAUUUGUUGAAGCAUGUAUUGAUUUUUGUUACUUAUCUCAAAACCAUAUUCAUUACAACUCAAACAGCAACGGUGCUUAGCAGCGCUUAAAUAUCCGCAUUUUCUCUCUCUGUACCUGGGUAAUGUCUGCCUGCAGCACCGGACUCCGCCAGAGACGUCUGCCUUGCCCGAGCACCUGACAUACUCUGCUGCUGCUCUUCUGUCCGCCCUUGCGCAAAUGUCUCAUAUUCAGUGUUGUGGUUUGUUCGUAAGUGUUUCACUAGGUUGGUUGUGUUGCCACAACUCUACACGGUUUUCCCACAGAUGUCACACAAUGCAUCCUGAAGAAAAAGUAGUCCCUACCAGCGGCGUGUCAUUUAGACAAGAUCUGAAUAGUUUAGUUACUUUCCACCAAAUUCCUGUCAAUGAUAUUGUGAUGUCACGAGAGGCUUGGUCUUGGAAGGGAGAUACGUUCACCGGCGAUGGCUCUAACUACUAUGGCUCCAUCUGCUGGUGCCCCGAAACUCAGAGCAUUCCCCUCACACCUGAGACCCAUCAGGGUGUGACGACCCGGAGGCCUUCAUAAAGGUGGAAGACACACCGUUGGGGGGGAGACGAGCUGAGAAGAGCAGACCAAGCCAUAAGGAUUCGAGGAGGCAGGAGAGACCGGGAGGACGGUGUUGUUUUCCUUAAAGAAGUGGAUUUCCGUUAAGUUAAGUUUUACCGGCAAAGAUUGACCGAAGCCUGAGUUACCCCCUGUUUUCUGUUGAACCUGAAGGACGGAAAUUAAAACCUUUUGUUUACAUUUUGAACCCGGUGUCCUCGCACUAUUUUGAACUACCCCGGAGAGAGCGGCGGCGCCUCUCGUGACAUCACAAUAUACAUUAUCAUGAAUGAAGUAUCAAAAGUAUCGAUAUUUUCAUUUAAAAAUUGAUUUUAGAGCAUACAGAUCUAGUAUCGGAAGUAUCGAUGUUUCAGUAUCGAUCCGCACAUCACUAUUAGGCACUGAUAGUGCGCGUAAAAUGUUGGUAACUGCUAGGCUACUUCUUUUUUCAACAUCUACCUUAAGCAGCACACAGUCCGCGGAGGACCACCACUGUUGCCCUUAAAGACAGUGGUUUGGAAAACGUCCUGGCUAAAUGGCGGGAGAAUGUUGGAACUCCGAACACAGCCUGUCAAAUGAUGAAGAGUUGAGAGCUCAGCAAACUGCACGAGGACAGCAGGCGAAGUCGCUAGUUCAAGAUGGUCCACCUGAUGGGAUUAUGCCCUGAAGAUGAUCAAAUGCAACAUUUGGUCUUUGGAAGGAAAAAAAAAGCAAUAAAUCUAGAUAUUUUAAAGUCUGUUUCAUGGUAUUCCUUAUUUCAGUUCAUUCAACAGCAUAAAGAUUCACCUGCAUUACAUUAUUUUUCACACCCCAUCAUGUAGACGACCCUAAUAUAAUGAUAAAAACAUUUUUGGGUGACAUACAAAUUGAGAGGUAUAGCUAAAUGUGUAUAAUAAUUUACAUUAAAAAACAUGUUUAACUAGAAAAUGCAUUUCCUGCUGAAAAUGC